GAUGAACGCUAGCGGCAGGCCUAACACAUGCAAGUCGAGGGGCAGCAAUAAGAUACUUUCGGGUAUUUUAGAUGGCGACCGGCGGACGGGUGCGUAACGCGUAUGCAACCUACCUAUAACAGGGGGAUAGUCGAGAGAAAUUUUGUCUAAUACCCCGUAACACUGAUAGAGGCAUCUUUAACAGUUGAAAGAUUUAUUGGUUAUAGCUGGGCAUGCGUGACAUUAGCUAGAUGGUACGGUAACGGCGUACCAUGGCGACGAUGUCUAGGGGAACUGAGAGGUUAAUCCCCCACACUGGUACUGAGACACGGACCAGACUCCUACGGGAGGCAGCAGUGAGGAAUAUUGGUCAAUGGGCGGAAGCCUGAACCAGCCAUGCCGCGUGCAGGACGACGGCUCUAUGAGUUGUAAACUGCUUUUGUGAUGGAAUAAAAAAAGAUACGUGUAUCUUCUUGCAUGUACAUUACGAAUAAGGAUCGGCUAACUCCGUGCCAGCAGCCGCGGUAAUACGGAGGAUUCGAGCGUUAUCCGGAUUUAUUGGGUUUAAAGGGUGCGUAGGUUGUAAUUUAAGUUAGUGGUUAAAUAUAGUGGCUUAACCAUUUACUCGCCAUUAAUACUGAAUUACUAGAGUAUAGAUGCAGCAGGCGGAAUGUGUAGUGUAGCGGUGAAAUGCAUAGAUAUUACACAGAACACCGAUUGCGAAGGCAGCUUGCUAAACUAUAACUGACACUGAUGCACGAAAGCGUGGGUAGCGAACGGGAUUAGAUACCCCGGUAGUCCACGCAGUAAACGAUGAUAACUCGUUGUAGGCGAUAUACCGUCUGUGACCAAGCGAAAGCGAUAAGUUAUCCACCUGGGGAGUACGACCGCAAGGUUGAAACUCAAAGGAAUUGACGGGGGCCCGCACAAGCGGAGGAACAUGUGGUUUAAUUCGAUGAUACGCGAGGAACCUUACCCGGGCUUGAAAGUUAGUGACGGACUAAGAGAUUGGUCUUCCCUUCGGGGCACGAAACUAGGUGCUGCAUGGUUGUCGUCAGCUCGUGCCGUGAGGUGUCGGGUUAAGUCCCAUAACGAGCGCAACCCCUAUUGAUAGUUACCAGCAUGUAGUGGUGGGGACUCUAUCAAGACUGCCGGUGUAAGCCGAGAGGAGGGUGGGGAUGACGUCAAAUCAGCACGGCCCUUACGUCCGGGGCGACACACGUGUUACAAUGGUCGGUACAGAGGGCAGCUACACAGUGAUGUGAUGCGAAUCUCUAAAGCCGAUCUCAGUUCGGAUUGGAGGCUGGAACUCGCCUCCAUGAAGUUGGAUUCGCUAGUAAUCGCAUAUCAGCCAUGAUGCGGUGAAUACGUUCCCGGGCCUUGUACACACCGCCCGUCAAGCCAUGGAAGUUGGGGGUGCCUGAAGUCCGUUACCGCGAGGAACGGCCUAGGGCAAAAUCAGUAACUAGGGC
Molecule: ribosomal RNA, 1451 nt
Filed under: uncultured bacterium
Lineage: Bacteria
Description: 16S ribosomal RNA
Rfam family: Bacterial small subunit ribosomal RNA
Source: RNAcentral